UCCGGUGACAAUGGCGGAGGAGAAACACCCGUUCCCAUCCCGAACACGGCAGUUAAGCCCUCCAGCGCCGAUGGUACUUAGGGCGGCGGCCCUUGGGAGAGUAGGUCGUUGCCGGGA
RNAcentral lists this ribosomal RNA (117 nucleotides) under Peptococcaceae bacterium. Lineage: Bacteria; Bacillati; Bacillota; Clostridia; Eubacteriales; Peptococcaceae. The record is from RNAcentral.